Molecule: long non-coding RNA, 467 nt
Filed under: Anser brachyrhynchus (Pink-footed goose)
Lineage: Eukaryota; Metazoa; Chordata; Aves; Anseriformes; Anatidae
Description: lncRNA (ENSABRG00000000326.1)
Source: RNAcentral
CAGAUGUCCUCUUUAGAGAUUUUAAUAUAAACACCGUUAACCCACAGAUUCUUUUUGAAGAAAUGCCAGUUGCAUAGAAGAAUGCCAGUUGGCAUGAAUGUAACUUGAACAUUUGACAUAUUAAUAGAUAUUUUUUUUUCUGAGCAAAAUAGAUUUUUAUUUUUUUAUAGAGAAGGCAUGUCUGCUUUAGUUCUCUAUUAGAGUCCCAGCUUGCAAUAUCUGUUUGCUUGCAGUGAUGUCAUUAACUAGAAAACAGAUGCACUCAUGAGCAUCAGAAAUCAAUCAUUGCUGUUGGCACUUUAAUAAACAGCUGCCUUCUUAAAUGGUUUGGAAUAAACACUGAUCAUCACCAGCUCUUUUUGAAGGAAGAUCGUGGGAGGUUUGAAAACAAUUUCCAAAGGCUGACAGCAGUCCUGUCUAUUCGCAGCUCACUGUUUGAAGGCACGCGAUGGGGAUCUUACAGUUAG